Molecule: non-coding RNA, 102 nt
Filed under: Pontibacillus yanchengensis
Lineage: Bacteria; Bacillati; Bacillota; Bacilli; Caryophanales; Bacillaceae
Also listed under: 1 other name
Description: TPP sequence
Rfam family: TPP riboswitch aptamer (THI element)
About the family: Vitamin B(1) in its active form thiamin pyrophosphate (TPP) is an essential coenzyme that is synthesised by coupling of pyrimidine and thiazole moieties in bacteria. The previously detected thiamin-regulatory element, thi box was extended, resulting in a new, highly conserved RNA secondary structure, the THI element, which is widely distributed in eubacteria and also occurs in some archaea.
Source: RNAcentral
AUAAAAAGCUAGGGGUGCCAUGUACAUGGCUGAGAGGAUUCGUUCCGACCCUUUGAACCUGAAUUGGUUAAGACCAACGGAGGGAAGCAGAAGACGUACGUA